GCGGAGGAAAAGAAACCAACAGGGAUUGCCUCAGUAACGGCGAGUGAAGCGGCAACAGCUCAAAUUUGAAAUCUGGUCCCCUCUGGGGGCCCGAGUUGUAAUUUGAAGAGGAUGCUUUUGGCGAGGCGCCUUCCGAGUGCCCUGGAACGGGACGCCACAGAGGGUGAGAGCCCCGUAUGGUAGGACGCCGAGCCUCUGUAAAGCUCCUUCGACGAGUCGAGUAGUUUGGGAAUGCUGCUCAAAAUGGGAGGUAAACCCCUUCUAAAGCUAAAUAUUGGCCAGAGACCGAUAGCGCACAAGUAGAGUGAUCGAAAGAUGAAAAGCACUUUGAAAAGAGAGUUAAACAGCACGUGAAAUUGUUGAAAGGGAAGCGCUUGCGACCAGACUUGCGCCCGUCGGAUCAACCGUCCCUCGUGGGCGGCGCACUCCGGCGGGCUCAGGCCAGCAUCAGUUUUCCUGGGGGGAGAAAGGCGGUGGGAAUGUAGCUCUUCGGAGUGUUAUAGCCCGCCGCGUAAUGCCCUCGGGGGGACUGAGGACCGCGCGUAUGCAAGGAUGCUGGCGUAAUGGUCGUCAGCGACCCGUCUUGAAACACGGACCAAGGAGUCGUCCUAAUAUGCGAGUGUACGGGUGUAAAACCCCUGCGCGUAAUGAAAGUGAACGGAGGUGAGAGCUUCGGCGCAUCAUCGACCGAUCCUGAUGUUCUCGGAUGGAUUUGAGUAAGAGCAUAUUGGGCCGGACCCGAAAGAAGGUGAACUAUGCCUGUAUAGGGUGAAGCCAGAGGAAACUCUGGUGGAGGCUCGCAGCGGUUCUGACGUGCAAAUCGAUCGYCAAAUAUGGGCAUGGGGGCGAAAGACUAAUCGAACCUUCUAGUAGCUGGUU
This 879-nucleotide small RNA is filed under the name Cephalotrichum asperulum. RNAcentral describes it as "eukaryotic LSU rRNA". It matches the Rfam family "Eukaryotic large subunit ribosomal RNA", at positions 50 to 956 of the family's 3401-position model. The record is from RNAcentral. Lineage: Eukaryota; Fungi; Ascomycota; Sordariomycetes; Microascales; Microascaceae.